GCGCCCGUAGCUCAGUUGGAUAGAGCAACGGACUUCUAAUCCGUAGGUCAGAGGUUCGAAUCCUCUCGGGCGCGCCA
RNAcentral lists this transfer RNA (77 nucleotides) under Thermosediminibacter oceani DSM 16646. RNAcentral describes it as "tRNA-Arg (TCT) (tRNA-Arg-TCT-1-1)". It matches the Rfam family "tRNA". Rfam says of the family: Transfer RNA (tRNA) molecules are approximately 80 nucleotides in length. Their secondary structure includes four short double-helical elements and three loops (D, anti-codon, and T loops). RNAcentral also lists the same sequence under 2 other names. Lineage: Bacteria; Bacillati; Bacillota; Clostridia; Thermosediminibacterales; Thermosediminibacteraceae. The record is from RNAcentral.